This 465-nucleotide ribosomal RNA is filed under the name Vreelandella stevensii. Its description in RNAcentral is "partial 16S ribosomal RNA". It matches the Rfam family "Bacterial small subunit ribosomal RNA", at positions 338 to 795 of the family's 1533-position model. Lineage: Bacteria; Pseudomonadati; Pseudomonadota; Gammaproteobacteria; Oceanospirillales; Halomonadaceae. The record is from RNAcentral.
CCUACGGGGGGCAGCAGUGGGGAAUAUUGGACAAUGGGGGGAACCCUGAUCCAGCCAUGCCGCGUGUGUGAAGAAGGCCCUCGGGUUGUAAAGCACUUUCAGUGAGGAAGAACGCCUGGUGGUUAAUACCCAUCAGGAAAGACAUCACUCACAGAAGAAGCACCGGCUAACUCCGUGCCAGCAGCCGCGGUAAUACGCAGGGUGCGAGCGUUAAUCGGAAUUACUGGGCGUAAAGCGCGCGUAGGUGGCUUGAUAAGCCGGUUGUGAAAGCCCCGGGCUCAACCUGGGAACGGCAUCCGGAACUGUCAAGCUAGAGUGCAGGAGAGGAAGGUAGAAUUCCCGGUGUAGCGGUGAAAUGCGUAGAGAUCGGGAGGAAUACCAGUGGCGAAGGCGGCCUUCUGGACUGACACUGACACUGAGGUGCGAAAGCGUGGGUAGCAAACAGGAUUAGAUACCCCAGUAGUC